This 325-nucleotide ribosomal RNA is filed under the name Bathyxiphus subtilis. RNAcentral's name for it is "partial 16S ribosomal RNA". It matches the Rfam family "Bacterial large subunit ribosomal RNA", at positions 1926 to 2530 of the family's 2925-position model. Lineage: Eukaryota; Metazoa; Porifera; Hexactinellida; Sceptrulophora; Euretidae. The record is from RNAcentral.
AAUAGCUGCGGUAACACCUGACCGUACAAAGGUAGCACAAUAAAUAGCCUACUAAUUAUAGGAUUGCAUGAAGGCAAAACGAAGUUUAAACUGUCUCAAGACCCUUCUACAAAAAUAGAAUGUGUGUACAAAUCCACACUUAAUCGGCAAGACGAUAAGACCCUAAGAACUUUAAGUUUCAAGUUUCGUUGGGGCAACGAUCUCAAAAAAAAUAAAUGAGACAAGACCCGCUAAUAAAUUAACGAACAAAAAAUAAAAGUUCCUUAGGGAUAACAGCGUAAUAUUGUCCCUAAAGAUCAACUCAAACAAUGUUUGCGACCUCGAU